This is a long non-coding RNA of Rhineura floridana, 295 nucleotides long. RefSeq lists it as uncharacterized. Lineage: Eukaryota; Metazoa; Chordata; Lepidosauria; Squamata; Rhineuridae. The record is from RefSeq and is a predicted model, not a curated record. The transcript is spliced from 3 exons.
UGAACAACACAAGAACUUUGCACAAAGUUCUCAUCAUGUUGUGGAUGACAUCAUUUCCAAGUUUCCUCGUGACUUUGUAGAGUUAAGAGAGAAUACACCAAAAAUUAAAAGAUCACAUUUGGACCUAAACUGUUUCUCUGGGCUGUGCUUGACCUUGGUUUGUUUGGCCUGUGCUACAUCUGCAACCCUGCUCUCCUUGGCCACAUAGAUCUUCUUGGAGAAGCUGCAUCUGCCACCCUGCUGGAUGAGUGCGAUCCAUGGUGUACCUGCAAGGGUGAUGGCGGCCAGGAUGCUG